This 402-nucleotide ribosomal RNA is filed under the name uncultured Methanosaeta sp. RNAcentral describes it as "bacterial SSU rRNA". It matches the Rfam family "Archaeal small subunit ribosomal RNA", at positions 937 to 1338 of the family's 1478-position model. Lineage: Archaea; Methanobacteriati; Methanobacteriota; Methanomicrobia; Methanotrichales; Methanotrichaceae. The record is from RNAcentral.
CGACAGCAAUAUGAAGGUCAGGCUGAAGACCUUACCCGAUUAGCUGAGAGGUGGUGCAUGGCCGUCGUCAGUUCGUACUGUGAAGCAUCCUGUUAAGUCAGGCAACGAGCGAGACCCACGUCCACAGUUGCCAGCAUACCCUCCGGGGUGAUGGGUACACUGUGGAGACCGCCGCUGCUAAAGCGGAGGAAGGAGUGGGCAACGGUAGGUCAGUAUGCCCCGAAUCUCCCGGGCUACACGCGGGCUACAAUGGUUGGUACAAUGGGUAUCUACCCCGAAAGGGGAAGGAAAUCUCUUAAAGCCAAUCGUAGUUCGGAUUGAGGGCUGCAACUCGCCCUCAUGAAGCUGGAAUCCGUAGUAAUCGCGUUUCAACAGAACGCGGUGAAUACGUCCCUGCUCCUU